RNAcentral lists this ribosomal RNA (253 nucleotides) under uncultured bacterium. Its description in RNAcentral is "partial 16S ribosomal RNA". It matches the Rfam family "Bacterial small subunit ribosomal RNA", at positions 102 to 353 of the family's 1533-position model. The record is from RNAcentral.
ACGGGUGAGUAACGCGUGGAUAACCUGCCUCACACAGGGGGAUAACAGUUAGAAAUGACUGCUAAUACCGCAUAAGCGCACGGUACCGCAUGGUACAGUGUGAAAAACUCCGGUGGUGUGAGAUGGAUCCGCGUCUGAUUAGGUAGUUGGUGAGGUAACGGCCCACCAAGCCGACGAUCAGUAGCCGACCUGAGAGGGUGACCGGCCACAUUGGGACUGAGACACGGCCCAAACUCCUACGGGAGGCAGCAUG